AACAGCAUGGAUCCUGACCAGACUGCGCGGAUGCGCAGGCUGGUCUGGAUCCAUGCUGGUCGCAAACCCACUAGGUUGGUUUUCCCAUGGCACGGCUCAUUUGCAACUCACGAUUUUAACAAAAAUAAAACUUCCACAUUAUGUUAUCAAAUCAUCAGGAACAUAUUGCUUAGUCCUUCCAAUAUUAUUAACAUUUUUAGCUGCUGCUACAGUUGUUUUAUUAAUAGAUCUACAAAAUUACAUCUCAAAUUUUAGUCUCUGUUAAUAGGUUGUCUUCAGCACAAGAUUUUCUGUGUAUGAAAAUGUUACAUGGCUGCACCAUGAGAAGACCAACUUAGUGGCUUUGCGACCAGCAUGGAUCCAGACCAUUCUGCGCAUCCUCGCAGUCUAGUCAGGAUCCAUGCUGUUCGCUAAUGGUUUCUCUAAUUGCAAUCGGUUUUAAAAGCGAACAGCAUGCAUCCUGACCAGACUGCGCGGAUGCAGUAUUGUAUUCUCACUUCGAAAAUCCCAGUUUGUACUUUAUUCUAUGCUCACUUUUAAAAGUACCAGCUUAUAUGGUAAUGUAUUCUCACUUUUUACUUUAUUCUAUGCUCACUUUUAUAAAUCCCAGUUUAUACAGUAUUGUAUUCCCACUUCAAAAGUCCCAAUUUGUACUUAAUUCUAUGCUCACUCUUAAAAGUCCUAGUUUAUAUGGUAAUGUAUUCCCACUUCAAAAGUCCCAAUUUGUACUUAAUUCUAUGCUCACUCUUAAAAGUCCUAGUUUAUAUGGUAAUGUAUUCCCACUUCAAAAGUCCCAAUUUGUACUUAAUUCUAUGCUCACUCUUAAAAGUCCUAGUUUAUAUGGUAUUGUAUUCUUACUUCAAAAGUCCCUGUUUGUACUUUAUUCUAUGCUCACUUUUAAAAGUCCUAGUUUAUAUGGUAAUGUAUUCUCACUUCAAAAGUCCCAAUUUGUACUUUAUUCUAUGCUCACUCUUAAAAGUACCAGUUUAUAUGGUAAUGUAUUCCCACUUCAAAAGUCCCUGUUUGUACUUAAUUCUAUGCUCACUUUUAAAAGUCCUAGUUUAUAUGGUAAUGUAUUCUCACUUCAAAAGUCCCUGUUUGUACUUCAUUCUAUGCUCACUUUUAAAAGUCUUAGUUUAUAUUGUACUGUAUUCUCACUUCAAAAGUCCCUGUUUGUAUUUUAUUCAGUGCUUACUUCAAAAGUACCUAUUUAUACUGCAGUCUUUGCUCACUCCAAAAGUCCAAGUGUGCACUUGACUUAAUGCUAUAACCUUGUGUACAAUGUAGUUUAACAAGUAAAACUGUAGGUAAACAUAUGCAAUACCCAUAUUAGCUUAAUUGAUUCACUUAUCAUGGAACUAUGUAAUUAAGCAUUGUAUACAGAGAUAUAGUUCAUAUAGUUCAAACAUUUCUUUAUCUAUUAGAAAUUUUCAAAUUUUGAAACAUUUCAUACUAACACACGUGUACUUGAAAACUGAUCUAUGUUAGUUUGGUUCCCUGUAAUCCAACUAAAUAACUUAAAUUGGAUAAGAGGUCCUGACAUGCUAAAGAACCAGGAAAACUUCUGAAAUAGGAACAUCUCCUGUAUCUUGCACUUUACUUAAGCUAAAAUUGAUAGUAAGCACCCUUAUGAGUUAUCAGUUAAAACGUUAAAAGAAAACAAAUGGAAUAACUUUAAGUGUUCAACUAAAUAGUACUGUAAUUUAAGCCACACUUCCUGUGAUCAAGGGGGGUGUGUUGCUUAUGAAAAGAAAUAUACAAGCUUUAUGGAAAAAGUCCCAUUUUUUUUAAGUGCAAGUUCCAGUUUUAACAUCAGUUGCUACCAGUUUUGAUAGUACUGUCUCUGAACUAAAUAAUAGUGGGACUAAUUUCUGUUAACAGUGAAAUAAAUUACAAUGGGACUAUUUCCUCGCAUAGGAUUGAAAAUAUCAAAGUGUUGUGGUUUUAAAAUACAUAAAAAGCAAUAUCUAACAAAGUUGUACUUGGAAAUUAUUUCAUAUGAGCUUGUGAUGAUUUUAUUAGCUCAUGGUGAGCAUUUGUGACCGCUCAAUGUCCGUCGUCCGCCGGUCAACAAUUUCUAACAAGAGUGCCAGGAUGUCACAAUAUACGCCCAUCAUAACAAAUUUCUUUACACUAGCACCUGUAUUUGCAAAUGGAAUUUUAAUUCUGUGGUUGUGUAGUAAUUAUUGUAAUUCUUUUGUUUUUCUAAAUCCACAAAAAAAAACUCCUUACCAGGUAGAGAUACCUUAAAAUACACCUAAAAUUUGAAAGUAACAUCUGUGUUGUACCACAGAAAAGUGGUCUUGGUUUUUCCCUACGGUCAAUUAUAAAAAGGUUACAAUAUAAGUUAUUCAUAGUAACAACUAAGGGAAGUGAAUCUUAAAAAAAAAUAAUUUCUAAGUCCACACAAAAAUCCUCACCAGGGAGAGAUAGGUCAAAAUACACCUCAAAAUUGGAUAUAACAUGCAUGUUGUACUACAGAAAAGUGGUCUCGAUUUUUCCCAACGACUAGUAAUGAAAAAGUUACAAUAUAAGCUAUUUAUAGUAACAACAAAGGAAAGUAAUUCUAAAGAAGGGACCUGCGCAUGACACUCCGUCUCAUGAUGGUGUACAAUUGUGCCAAGUUACAUCAAAAUCCCUCCAUGCAUGAAGAAGAAAUGCUCUGGACAAAGUCAUUAUUGCAUCUGACCUUUGGCCUCUUAAGUGUGACCUUGACCUUAGACCUAGGGACCUGGUUCUUGUGCAUGACACUCCGUCUCAUGAUGGUGAAUAUUUGUGCCAAGUUAUAUCAAAAUCCCUCUAUGCAUGAAGAAGAAAUGCUCCGGACAAAGUUUCCUUCUUGUAUCCUUUGACCUCUAAGUGUAACCUUGACCUUAGACCUAGGGACCUGGUUCUUGCGCAUGACACUCUGUCUCAAGAUGGUGAACAGUUGUGCAAGUUACAUAAAAAUCCUUCCAAGCAUGAAGAAGAAAUGCUCCGGACAAAGUUUUCAUUCUUGUAUCCUUUGACCUCUAAGUGUGACCUUGACCUUAGACCUAGGGACCUGGUUCUUGCACAUGAAACUCCGUCUCAUGAUGGUAAACAAUUGUGCCAAGUUUCAUCCCUCCAUGCAUGAAGAAAAUAUGCUUUGGACAAAGUCAUUCUUGAAUUUGACCUUUGACCUCUAAGUGUGACCUUGACCUUAGACCUAGGGACCUGGUUCUUGUGCGUGACACUCCGUCUCAUGAUGGUGAACAACUGUGCCAAGUUUCAUCAAAAUCCCUCCAUGUAUGAAGAAGAUAUGCUCUGGACAAAGUCUGUGGACGCCGCCGGCCCAACGGGCGUUCCCAUAAUAUGGGCAUAUAAAAAACUCUUCCUCAAAACCUCUGGGCAGAUUUACACCAAACUUAUCAGGAAUGAUCCUUAGGUGACCCCCUUUCAAAAUUUUUAAGAAUUGAAUUUCUCACAGAACUGGUUGCUAUGGCAACCGAAAGGAAAACUUUAAAAAUCUUCUUUUCCAAAACCACUAGGCAUAGAGCCUGGAUAUUUGGCAUGUGACAUGAUCUAAUGGUCCUCUCUGAAGACUGUUCAAAUUAUGCCCCUUGGUUGAAAAGAGGCCCUGCCCCUGGGUCUCAAGUUUUACAUCUACUUAUAUAAAAACAAAUUUAAAAAUCUUCUUGUAUGAAACCACAAGACCUUUGCCUUUGAUAUUUGGUAUGUAGCAUUGCCUUUUAGUCCUCUACCAAGAUGGUUCAGUUUAUUACCCUAGGGUGAAAGGAGGCCCCACACCAGGGGUCCCAAUUUUUACACAGACUUUUAUAGGAAACAAUUUUAAAAAUAUUCUUAUCUGAAACUGCAAGGCAUAGGCUUUUUAUAUUUUAUAUGUUGCAUUGCUUAGUUGUCCGAGACCAUUUAAGAUUAUUCAAAUUGUGCCCCCGAGGUGAAAAGAGGUACCACCCAGGCGGUCCCAAGUUUUAAAUAGACUUGUAUAGGAAAGAAAUUUAAAAAUCUUGUCUGAAAGUUCAAAGCCAAGGCCUUUGAUAUUUGGUAUGUAGCAUUGCCUAGUGGUUCUCUAAAGAUUGUUAAAAUUAUGCCCCUGGGGUGAAAAGAGGCCCCACCCCAGGAGUUAUAUAGGAAAAAAUACUUCAAAAAUUAUCUGAUCAUUUCCUAGACUGUUUAUUUAUGAUUACCUGAUGACCCCAAAUAAUUAGGGGUCACUUGACUGUGAGCUUUCCUGACUGACCUACUUUCUUGUUUUUGACCAUGAAUGUCACAGACCAACUGACCUACUUUCCUAACGUUUUAGCUUGUGUGUAUAUAUAUAUAUAUAUAUAUAUAUAUAUAUAUAUAUAUAUAUAUAUGUAGCUCAUAUUACUUAGGUGAGCAAUCCAGUGUCAUCAUGACCCUCUUGUUUGCUAUCUUGCCAUUUUUAAUUAGUUAUUUCUUAAUUAUACUUUGAAAGUUUGAAUGACUUGUUUAAUUCAGAACUUAAUGUAUUUGAUGUACACUUUACUAGAAAAGAACUUUUUGAUUCAUUCAAAGCAAUAAUAAAUGCAAGGAAAAGAAAUUGACUGAUUUGCGAUUUUGCUGUGUAUAAUGUACAAAAAAUAAACAUGAUGUGAAGUUUAAAUGUUCCGUCAUCUCACCAAUUUUUUUACACCAGUAUUGUCUGUAGGUACUGGCAAUCAUAAAUCUUCUUUGUAUUUCCAUAAAUUAAUUUUCAUUGUCCAAACCUAAGUAGCUAUAUAACUAUUGCAGAACUGUUGCAGAAGCUCCAUGUGGUUCUGGGACGAUCUGUGUAUGAAAAGAAUUGGAACCACUGCCUUACCCUUGCAUGAUUAUAAGAGGCGACUGAUAGGGUCUUAACACUUAGUUUUGCAGUAACUCUGUGAUUCCAGCAGGUAUGCAAAUUUUGAUUCCAUACCUCAUGUUUUUAUUUCGAUGUAAAUGAGAUGUGGAACCAAAAUUUGUAGUCCUGUUUGGCGCCAUAUAACCUUUACUGUGUUGGUAGAUAAAUAGAUAAAUAAACUAUUGCAGAAUGAUAAUUAUUAUAUUUCUUAACUGAUGUGUGCAUGUAGCUGUGGGAACAAAACGUUCAGCAGCUAAUCUGGUUGUGAGUUUGAGUCCUAAAUUGUCUGACCAUUUUUUCCCCAAAAUUUUAUCUAGAAACUUAACAGGCAGGAAAAUUGCAACAACGAUCGUAUCAAACUUAUCUGAAAUUUUAAUGGUUCAUUUAAUGAAAGAAAUACAGUUUUAUUUAAGUUAACCAGAAAAUGUCAAAUUUAAAAUCUUUUCAGAGUGUCUUUGAUUAAACAAGAAAUGAAGAUAAGUGAGUGACUGGUCAAUACUUAUGGACAUUAAUAGGUACAUAAGGUCAUCCAGGGUUCAACAAAUGGAAUGAUAUAACAUCAUCAGUGGAAUGGAACACACGUUUUACCUGUCAGUCAAAGGACAAGGGUAGCAGAUGUAGGCAUUUAAUUACCGAGUCUGUUGCUGAUCACUUACUGACAUUCUAAUGAAUUAAUUCAUGCUUACAUUUCAAUACACUCUGUUAUGUCAAACUUAAUUUCCUUAGAAAGUCAGUGAAUGAUUAUGAUUGACCAGCUUACAAAUUAAGUUAUUGAAUUUGUUUCACUGUGACCCGAAUACACAAAACUUAUUAAUAAAUUAUCAAUUAUAACCUAUGCACGGGAGUCGGAAGUUUUAAAAUUCUAUGUUUAGAUAGUUAAAAUAAGCAUUUAGGUGACUGAUAAAUUUACCAAGGUGAAAGGUGUGGCCAAUGUCGAGAGAAAACAGCAAAGAAUGUUUCUAUCUAUAAAUUAUUUGUGUUUAUUCUAUCUUUUUAAUACAAGAUAUUGCAUCAUACUAUCUCAUUUUACAUUAUUUGAUAGAAAUAUACCUUUUUAUAUGGUGAUAUAUCCAGAUUUUAUUUUUUAAUUUACAAGAUUUUUAUGCUACAACCAUAAUUGAGCCACGCCAUGAGAAAACCAACAUAGUGCGUUUGCGACCAGCAUGGAUACAGACCAGCCUGCGCAUCUGUGCAGGCUGGUCUGGAUCCAUGCUGGCCGCAAAGCCACUAUGUUGGUUUUCUCAUGGCACGGCUCAUAUGCAGUUCAGUGCGAUCUCUGAUGUUCAGUCUUCAGAGGUGUCAUUAACAGAAGUUAUACGAUGUUUGAUAAAAUGGCAUUGUUGAAAUAUAGAUCUAUUUGUUAACAUUAAGUAUUCGGAGUUGUUAAAAUCUCAUUUGUAUUGUUUAUUAGUAAUGAAAAUAAUAGUAAUUUACAUUAUAGUAAUAUACAUGUGGUUUUCAGUUUAACUGAGCAUAAAAUGCUCAAGGUGAGCUAUUGUCAUUGCACUGUGUCCGUCAUACAUCUUUAUAAAUUUUACUGUUUAAACUUGUUGUUAAAAAAAGACAUGGUAAAGUUUUGGAUGUGUAAGAUACUGGGGGAAAAAAUAGGUCAGUAUGUCAGAUGAUAGAAAAAAACCUUGACACACACACAAGGCCACUUUUUAUCAGAUCUUCAUGAAACAUGUUCAGCAUAAUUUUUCUGUUUGAAACUUUUAUCUUUAGUCUAAAACUAGACCACCUCAGAUCAAAUAAUAGAAAAACCUUGUAAAUACUCCAUAUGUCACAUUUUCUACCUGAUCUUCAUGAAAUGCUGUUUUUAAAAGCUAGGACAAUUCAAAGAACUAGAAAUACAUUCUGCAGGCCAACAGGCAGAAUGUCGAGCCCACCAGCACCUUUGGCCUCUAAGUGUGACCUUGAUCCUAGACCGAGGGACCUGGUUCUUGUGUAUGGCAUUCCUUCUCAUAAUGGUGAACAUUCAUGCAAAGUUAUAUCAAAAUCCCACCAUGCAUGAAGAAAUGCUCUGGACAAACUUCAGUUUGACCUUUGAGAUAGAAACACUGGGUUUGCGCAUGACACUUCUUCUCAUUGAGGUCAACAUCCAUGCCAAAUAUAAACAUGAUUUGUCUAUGCAUGUCAAAGUUAUGGUCCAGACAAAGUCGGACGGACGCAUGGACUCACAAAAGCACAUACACCGACCCACCAAAAGUGACAUCAUAUUGAGCUGUUCGCAAGCGGGCUCAACAAAAAUAGUGUUAACAUGCUUGAGUUCACAUUUUCUUUCUGAUCUUAAUGAAACAUUUUAUAAUCUAUCUCAUUUUAGGGAAUCUUGUUAACAAACUAGAGGCUAAAUCCAAAACUAGGUUACUAGGUCAGAUAAUAGAAAAUCUUUGUUUACCUUGUAAUCACUCCAGUGACAACAUUUUCCACCUGUUCUGUAUGCAACCAUUUCAGGAAGUUUUUUUUAUGAAACCUUGGUUAGUUGAAAUUCAGUCAUUUAAAGUCAAGAACUAGAUCAGUAGGUCAAAUCAGAGCCAGAGGUCACAUUUUCUUCCUGAUCUUUAUGAGACUUUUUCAGAAUUUUUGUCUUCAUGAUAUCUAGUUUAAGUUUGAAACUGGAUCAUCUAAGAUUAAAAAAAACUAGGCCAGGUGAGUGAUAUAGGGCUUUUAUGUCUCUCUUGUUUAUGUUAUUGAUGUAUACAGAAACUGUUUAUGUAGAAUAGGUUGUAUGCAUUUUUAAGGUCUGCCUAUACAAUGGAUUAUUUUUCCUUUUGAAGUUGCUUUCCACUUGUGUUACAUUUUGUGAGAGGAGAUAUUUACAUUAUCAUGUUAUAUUAUUAUUUUACGUAAUCUGGAAGUAUUAUAUAUUGCUUUUUACCAGAAUACUGGUAUUAUAUACAGGAGCUUUUUUAUUGAUAUACAGUAUGUGUACACUGUUUUUCUGUGAAAAUUAUGUUGCUUUAUAAAUGAAGGUUUUGACAC
Long non-coding RNA from Mercenaria mercenaria, 7807 nucleotides. RefSeq lists it as uncharacterized. The record is from RefSeq and is a predicted model, not a curated record. The transcript is spliced from 2 exons. NCBI's taxonomy places the organism in Eukaryota, Metazoa, Mollusca, Bivalvia, Venerida, Veneridae.